AAAGGGAAAAAAUAGAAAUUGGGCCAAAAUGAAUUAUGAAACCGCCCGCAAUAAGGAAAAAAAAGGGCAAUCUCUUUCCUCUUCCUAGCUACGAUCGAUAAUCCUUAGGUUUAAUCAGUUCCGUCUGGCUCAAUUCAUCAGAAAAUCGUUCGUUUCGAUCGUGAUCUUGGAUUUCAUCGAAUUCGUGCUUCUAAAUUCAGUUUGGAGUUAUGUGGUAUCUAGGUGCUCGGGCAGCAUAUGAGUUGCGACGGCUUCACUGAGGCCAGGCUCAAAUGAGGACAGUUGGGGAACUGGUCAUUUUUUCUUCUAUAUGGCUGAUGAAGGUGGACAUACCAUCAGCUUGAAUAGAGAUUUGUUGGACAUUCAUGAAAGCUCAUUACUUGCAUCAGGAUCGCAAAAGGAUGUUGGAGGCUGGCAGUUGCUAUUGGAAUCAACUGUAUGUUAAUAAUGGGAGAGACGAACUUUUGAAGUUCUUUUAUUUCACUUUUUUCGUUCCCCAACUUUUUUGAUAAGGCUGAUUUACUAGGGAGUAAUGUUUUAUUUUCUGUUUGGUUUAGCCUGGUGUGAUUUUAUUUCGUCCAUGUGAUAGUUCCCAUGCUAUAUUAGUUUACUUGUUCAUUGCUUCA
Spinacia oleracea (spinach) is the source of this 626-nucleotide long non-coding RNA. RefSeq lists it as uncharacterized. The transcript has 3 exons. NCBI's taxonomy places the organism in Eukaryota, Viridiplantae, Streptophyta, Magnoliopsida, Caryophyllales, Amaranthaceae. The record is from RefSeq and is a predicted model, not a curated record.